RNAcentral lists this ribosomal RNA (732 nucleotides) under uncultured bacterium. RNAcentral describes it as "bacterial SSU rRNA". It matches the Rfam family "Bacterial small subunit ribosomal RNA", at positions 28 to 776 of the family's 1533-position model. The record is from RNAcentral.
GAUGAACGCUGACAGAAUGCUUAACACAUGCAAGUCUACUUGAAGCUAACUUCGGUUAGUGGAGAGUGGCGGACGGGUGAGUAACGCGUAAAGAACUUGCCUCACAGUUUGGGACAACAUUUGGAAACGAAUGCUAAUACCGGAUAUUAUGAUACUUCUGCAUGGAAGAAUCAUGAAAGCUAUAUGCGCUGUGAGAGAGCUUUGCGUCCCAUUAGCUAGUUGGAGAGGUAACGGCUCACCAAGGCGAUGAUGGGUAGCCGGCCUGAGAGGGUGAACGGCCACAAGGGGACUGAGACACGGCCCUUACUCCUACGGGAGGCAGCAGUGGGGAAUAUUGGACAAUGGACCAAAAGUCUGAUCCAGCAAUUCUGUGUGCACGAUGAAGUUUUUCGGAAUGUAAAGUGCUUUCAGUUGGGAAGAAGCAAGUGACGGUACCAACAGAAGAAGCGACGGCUAAAUACGUGCCAGCAGCCGCGGUAAUACGUAUGUCGCAAGCGUUAUCCGGAUUUAUUGGGCGUAAAGCGCGUCUAGGUGGUUAUAUAAGUCUGAUGUGAAAAUGCGGGGCUCAACUCCGUAUUGCGUUGGAAACUGUAUGACUAGAGUACUGGAGAGGUAAGCGGAACUACAAGUGUAGAGGUGAAAUUCGUAGAUAUUUGUAGGAAUGCCGAUGGGGAAGCCAGCUUACUGGACAGAUACUGACGCUAAAGCGCGAAAGCGUGGGUAGCAAACAGG